RNAcentral lists this small nuclear RNA (112 nucleotides) under Tupaia belangeri chinensis (Chinese tree shrew). RNAcentral describes it as "Tupaia chinensis (Chinese tree shrew) U4 spliceosomal RNA". It matches the Rfam family "U4 spliceosomal RNA". Rfam says of the family: U4 small nuclear RNA (U4 snRNA) is a component of the major U2-dependent spliceosome. The structure of U4 snRNA from yeast and human has been reported. The record is from Rfam by way of RNAcentral. Lineage: Eukaryota; Metazoa; Chordata; Mammalia; Scandentia; Tupaiidae.
GCUUUUGCGCAGUGGCAGUAUCGUAGCCAAUGAGGUUUAUCCGAGGCGCGAUUAUUGCUAAUUGAAAAGUGACAAGACCUAGGGUUUUAGUUUUUGGUUUUUUGUUUUUUGU